Molecule: long non-coding RNA, 1158 nt
Filed under: Vombatus ursinus (common wombat)
Lineage: Eukaryota; Metazoa; Chordata; Mammalia; Diprotodontia; Vombatidae
Description: lncRNA (ENSVURG00010014744.1)
Source: RNAcentral
CCAGGAUCCUAGCCCCUCCUCUUCUGAAGUGCCGCGGUGGCGGGGAGGGGAGCCCCAUUGCUGGCCCAGCAGCCCCCUCCCCUUCCUCCCAUGGCCUGGCCAAUCCCUUCCCAGAUCCCAGGGAUCCUCCUCCUCCCAAGGGGCUUUUCCUCUUGCCAAGGACACAUACUUCGAGGCUUUCUCAUCUCACAGUGGGAGAACAUUCCUGGUUCAAUGACUCUGGGGAGGAGCCAAGGGGAGGACCUCUGCUUCCUGGGGAUCAUUGUGGGGAAUGACUCUGGGCUCCCCUCCCUGAGUCAGGCAGCUGGAAGGACCUUGGAGAUUUUGCAGGCUGGUUCACCGUGGCCAGAGAUGGAAGGUUCUUGCUGAAGGUCACUCGGGAAGCAAGGAGUGGACCAGGUAGGAUAGAAGCAUUAGUCUUUGAGGGAGGGGCGGGAGAGUGGGGGACAGGAGGCGGGCAGGCUCCCCACUCUGGAAUCUGCUGUCCCAGGGUUGUUUGGGAAGAAAGGCUGUGCCCCUCCCCCUUGCCCACAGUCAUUCCCACAGGGACCCUGACUGCUUCUUGUGAGUUCAAGAGGUCCUGGGGUCUUGGGUCCAUGAGGUGGAGGUGACUCACAGUAAGGGAAGCUGCUGACCACCCACCAAAGGAGGAGUGAGGAUGUGGAGGGAGACAGUGCCAGGCCGAGGUGACAUCCUGUCAACUGUCUCAUGUGGAGGUGCUUCCCAGCUCUGGAAGGUCACCGAGUGACUGCAGCAAAGGCAGCUUCUGCUUUAGCUCAAGCUCUGGCUUAGCUGACAGUUCAUGAGCUUUUUGGUACUUUAGCCUUUCUUCUGCGGGUGUAGGCAUCGAAUGCCCACAGAACUGCGGGGACAACCGCCCUGUAAAAAGCAGCCAUUGUGACAGAUCAAUAUAGGGAUCAACUGUGAUAGGCUGCCCACCUCCUGCCCGAUCGGGGCUGGACUUGGGUGAAGAAUGACAUGUGGAUAUUUUGGAUGUAACUCCCAUGAGAAUUUGUUUUGCUUGGCUCUGUCCAAUGGUUUUCUUUUUCUUUUUCCUUUUUCAAUGCUAGGAUGAAGUGGGGGGGCAGUGUGUGUGAAAAAGUAUAUUUUUGUUCAUUAAAAAAUAAAAUUUACCUUUUUUGAAAAGAAAUAAAUAGC